UAUUUAUUUUUUGGCAUUGGAAAGAAGAAAGAGUCUUUAAAUGGGUCACUUAGUUUUCCUUGCCUUAUCUUGAUUGCCUCUCAUUUUUGUCACACACCAAAUUAAAUAGGAAAUUAUGGGGUGCAGGUGAGGAGAAGUCCUUCUAUUUGAAGGCUCUUUUGUGCCAUAAAAUAACACAUGGAGAAAUUAAUCUCCGUGUGAAUAAGUGGAGCGCCA
This 216-nucleotide long non-coding RNA is filed under the name Elaeis guineensis (African oil palm). Its description in RNAcentral is "long non-coding RNA (EGUI_LNC055014)". Lineage: Eukaryota; Viridiplantae; Streptophyta; Magnoliopsida; Arecales; Arecaceae. The record is from RNAcentral.